AUUGAACGCUGGCGGCAGGCCUAACACAUGCGAGUCGAGCGGAUGAAGGGAGCUUGCUCCUGGAUUCAGCGGCGGACGGGUGAGUAAUGCCUAGGAAUCUGCCUGGUAGUGGGGGAUAACGUCCGGAAACGGGCGCUAAUACCGCAUACGUCCUGAGGGAGAAAGUGGGGGAUCUUCGGACCUCACGCUAUCAGAUGAGCCUAGGUCGGAUUAGCUAGUUGGUGGGGUAAAGGCCUACCAAGGCGACGAUCCGUAACUGGUCUGAGAGGAUGGUCAGUCACACUGGAACUGAGACACGGUCCAGACUCCUACGGGAGGCAGCAGUGGGGAAUAUUGGACAAUGGGCGAAAGCCUGAUCCAGCCAUGCCGCGUGUGUGAAGAAGGUCUUCGGAUUGUAAAGCACUUUAAGUUGGGAGGAAGGGCAGUAAGUUAAUACCUUGCUGUUUUGACGUUACCAACAGAAUAAGCACCGGCUAACUUCGUG
RNAcentral lists this ribosomal RNA (484 nucleotides) under uncultured bacterium. RNAcentral's name for it is "partial 16S ribosomal RNA". It matches the Rfam family "Bacterial small subunit ribosomal RNA", at positions 30 to 507 of the family's 1533-position model. The record is from RNAcentral.